GAUGAACGCUGGCGGCGUGCCUAAUACAUGCCAGUCGAGCGAACAGACGAGGAGCUUGCUCCUCUGACGUUAGCGGCGGACGGGUGAGUAACACGUGGAUAACCUACCUAUAAGACUGGGAUAACUUCGGGAAACCGGAGCUAAUACCGGAUAAUAUAUUGAACCGCAUGGUUCAAUAGUGAAAGACGGUUUUGCUGUCACUUAUAGAUGGAUCCGCGCCGCAUUAGCUAGUUGGUAAGGUAACGGCUUACCAAGGCGACGAUGCGUAGCCGACCUGAGAGGGGGAGCGGCACCACUGGGGAAGAGAGACGCGCCCGACACCCACGGGAGGCACAGGUGGGGGAACUUCCGCACAGUGGGCGAGCCUGUGGGGGCAAAGCGGCGGGAGUGUGAAAAGGCUUCGCGGCUCAAAACUCUCUUAUAUGAGGAAAGCAAAAGUGUAAAUAUCUCUACGCGCCUGGAGGGGACCUAUAAAGAAAACCCCGCGUAACUCCGC
RNAcentral lists this ribosomal RNA (496 nucleotides) under uncultured bacterium. RNAcentral's name for it is "partial 16S ribosomal RNA". It matches the Rfam family "Bacterial small subunit ribosomal RNA", at positions 28 to 506 of the family's 1533-position model. The record is from RNAcentral.